Non-coding RNA from Acanthosepion pharaonis, 113 nucleotides. NCBI's taxonomy places the organism in Eukaryota, Metazoa, Mollusca, Cephalopoda, Sepiida, Sepiidae. The record is from the annotation of a GenBank genome assembly.
UUACGACAAUACCACGUUAAAACACCGAUUCUCAUACGAUCAUCGAAGUUAAGCAACGUCGAGCUUGGUUAGUACCUUGAACGGUGACCGCUUGGGAAUAACAGGUGCUGUAA